UACGGAGGGUGCAAGCGUUAUCCGGAUUCACUGGGUUUAAAGGGUGCGUAGGAGGAUAGGUAAGUCAGUGGUGAAAUCUCCGAGCUUAACUCGGAAACUGCCGUUGAUACUAUUUAUCUUGAAUACCGUGGAGGUGAGCGGAAUAUGUCAUGUAGCGGUGAAAUGCUUAGAUAUGACAUAGAACACCAAUUGCGAAGGCAGCUCACUACACGAAUAUUGACUCUGAGGCACGAAAGCGUGGGGAUCAAACAGG
This 253-nucleotide ribosomal RNA is filed under the name uncultured bacterium. Its description in RNAcentral is "partial 16S ribosomal RNA". It matches the Rfam family "Bacterial small subunit ribosomal RNA", at positions 524 to 776 of the family's 1533-position model. RNAcentral also lists the same sequence under 1 other name. The record is from RNAcentral.